RNAcentral lists this ribosomal RNA (427 nucleotides) under uncultured bacterium. RNAcentral describes it as "bacterial SSU rRNA". It matches the Rfam family "Bacterial small subunit ribosomal RNA", at positions 355 to 774 of the family's 1533-position model. The record is from RNAcentral.
UGGGGAAUUUUGGACAGUGGGCGCAAGCCUGAUCCAGCAAUGCCGCGUGCAGGAUGAAGGCCUUCGGGUUGUAAACUGCUUUUGUACGGAACGAAACGGCUCUGUCUAAUACAUGGGGCUAAUGACGGUACCGUAAGAAUAAGCACCGGCUAACUACGUGCCAGCAGCCGCGGUAAUACGUAGGGUGCGAGCGUUAAUCGGAAUUACUGGGCGUAAAGCGUGCGCAGGCGGUUAUAUAAGACAGAUGUGAAAUCCCCGGGCUCAACCUGGGACCUGCAUUUGUGACUGUAUAGCUAGAGUACGGUAGAGGGGGCUGGAAUUCCGCGUGUAGCAGUGAAAUGCGUUGAUAUGCGGAGGAACACCGGUGGCGAAGGCGAUCCCCUGGACCUGUACUGACGCUCAUGCACGAAAGCGUGGGGAGAAAGCA